GGGUCGAAGCCGGACCGUAAGGACCGGUGGACGAAAUGGAAGAGAUUAUGCUGACAUAAGUAGCGAUAAAGUCUGUGAGAAACAGGCUCGCCGAAAACCCAAGGUUUCCUGAGUAAAGCUAAUCUUCUCAGGGUUAGUCGAUCCCUAAGCCGAGGCCGACAGGCGUAGGCGAUGGGAAACAGGUUAAUAUUCCUGUGCCACUGCAGCAGCGUUUGAGCGAAGGGGGGACGUAGAAGGGUAGGCCAUCCGGGUGUUGGACGUCCCGGUUCAAGCCGGUAGGGGGAGAUUUUAGGAAAAUCCGAAAUCUCAUUCAACUCCGAGAAGCGAUGAGGAGAGAUUUUAUCUCGUAAACUGGCUGAUCCCAUGCUACCAAGAAAAGCCUCGUAGCGAGCUGUUGUGGUGACCGUACCGUAAACCGACACAGGUAGGUAGGGAGAGUAUCCCAAGGCGCUUGAGUGAUCUCUCGUUAAGGAACUCGGCAAAAUGACACCGUAACUUCGGAAGAAGGUGUGCCCCGUUAGCGUGAAGCGAUUCGCACGUAAAGCGCGAGGGGGUUGCAGUGAAACGGCCCAAGCGACUGUUUAGCAAAAACACAGGACUCUGCGAAGUCGUAAGACGAUGUAUAGGGUCUGACGCCUGCCCGGUGCUGGAAGGUUAAGGGGAUUUGUUAGCCGCAAGGCGAAGCUUUGAACCGAAGCCCCAGUAAACGGCGGCCGUAACUAUAACGGUCCUAAGGUAGCGAAAUUCCUUGUCGGGUAAGUUCCGACCUGCACGAAUGGCGUAACGAUUUGGGCGCUGUCUUGACGAGAAGCUCAGCGAAUUUGAUAAACCGGUGAAGAUGCCGGUUACCCGCAACUAGACGGAAAGACCCCACGAACCUUUACUAUAACUUGACAAUGAAUUUCGGACUGGUUUGUGUAGGAUAGGUGGGAGGCUUUGAAGUGGGAACGCCAGUUUCCAUGGAGCCGACCUUGAAAUACCACCCUGAUUAUUCUGAAGUUCUAACCUCGACCCGUCAUCCGGGCCAGGGACAUUGUCUGGUGGGUAGUUUGACUGGGGCGGUCGCCUCCCAAAGCGUAACGGAGGCGCGCGAAGGUUCCCUCAGGCUGAUUGGAAACCAGCCGUAGAGUGUAAAGGCAUAAGGGAGCUUGACUGCGAGACAUACAAGUCGAGCAGGUGCGAAAGCAGGUCUUAGUGAUCCGGUGGUUCCACAUGGAAGGGCCAUCGCUCAACGGAUAAAAGGUACUCUGGGGAUAACAGGCUUAUCACGCCCAGGAGUUCACAUCGACGGCGUGGUUUGGCACCUCGAUGUCGGCUCAUCGCAUCCUGGGGCUGAAUAAGGUCCCAAGGGUUUGGCUGUUCGCCAAUUAAAGCGGUACGUGAGCUGGGUUCAGAACGUCGUGAGACAGUUCGGUCCCUAUCUGUUGUGGGCGCAGGAUAUUUGAGAGGAGCUGUCCCUAGUACGAGAGGACCGGGAUGGACGAACCUCUGGUGUUCCAGUUGUCGUGCCAACGGCAUCGCUGGGUAGCUAAGUUCGGAAGGGAUAACCGCUGAAAGCAUCUAAGCGGGAAGCCCACCUCAAGAUGAGAUAUCCCUCCUGAUGGAGACAUCAGGACUGAAGACCCCUCGUAGACCACGAGGUUGAUAGGUCAGAUGUACAAGCACAGUAAUGUGUUGAGCUUACUGAUACUAAUCGGUCGUGAGGCUUGACCAU
RNAcentral lists this ribosomal RNA (1714 nucleotides) under metagenome. RNAcentral describes it as "bacterial LSU rRNA". It matches the Rfam family "Bacterial large subunit ribosomal RNA", at positions 1247 to 2925 of the family's 2925-position model. The record is from RNAcentral.